RNA transcript from Harpia harpyja (harpy eagle), 3184 nucleotides. It is a transcript of the gene named TM2 domain containing 1, with no coding region annotated. The transcript has 8 exons. The record is from RefSeq and is a predicted model, not a curated record. NCBI's taxonomy places the organism in Eukaryota, Metazoa, Chordata, Aves, Accipitriformes, Accipitridae.
AAAACCCCAAAAUCCCAAACCGGCCCCCUCAGCAGCCCACGAACACCUCGCCGGGUCCCCACCCCGCCCCUCCCGGCAGGCAGGGCGGCCUCCCCCGGCGGCGGGGCCCGCUCCUCCCCGGGGCCGGCGAGUCAGCUGACGGUAGCGGCGGUUUCCAUCAUGGCCGCCCGGCCGGGGCGGCUGUCGGCGGGGCAGGGGAGGCGGAGAGGCGCGGCGGAGGCCCGGAUCCUGCUUCUCCUCUGGUUCGCGGGUGCAGCCGUGGAGGGAGCGGAGGGCACGGAGCCGCCGCUCAAGUGCGACGAGCUGAGGCUGGGGCAAUAUAUGUGUGAUGAGCCUAAAAUAGACAACAGUACACAAGAACCUAUGAAUUGUACAAAUCACACAGCAUAUGUUCAAUGUCUGCCAGCACCAAAUAUAACUUGCAAAGAUCACCUUGGCAUAGAAAAAGUCUUUACAGGACAUGAAGUUGGAUUUUACAAGCCUAUUCCAUGUCGCAAUGUAAAUGGAUACUCCUACAAAGUGGCAGUGGCUCUGUCCUUAUUUCUUGGAUGGUUGGGAGCAGAUAGAUUUUAUCUAGGCUAUCCUGCAUUAGGUUUGUUAAAGUUCUGCACUGUAGGAUUUUGUGGAAUUGGUAGUCUAAUUGAUUUCAUACUUAUUUCAAUGCAGAUCGUUGGACCUUCCGAUGGCUCUAGUUACAUUAUAGAUUACUAUGGAGCAAGGCUUACACGGCUCACUAUUACCAAUGCAACAUUCAGGAAAAUGCAGACCUAUCCUUAACCCUGGCAAGCUGCUUUUCGUUGACUCUUGUUCAUGUAUCAGCUACCUUUGGACAUCCUGCCACAAGUUCUCAAAGUACCUCUAGGAGGAAUUGGACUCUUCAGAGUUGAAUCAAGUAUGUAGAAAUGUCACGGCAUCGCAUCAGGGUAUCUUUUAUAUAUAUGAAGCAAAGACACGUUGGGGAGCAGUAGAUGUUAAUAAGAGGGGAUUGUGGGCUUCAGUUUCUGCAAAAGUAUGCCUGAAACCUAAAACCGUGUUGUCUCUUUGCCUUCUGCUUCCUGAAGGUGGAGCCAAACCCCCUAUCAGAUCUCCAAAUCUUCUGAAGUUGUUCUUUAUCAUACAGCAAGGACUUAGCACUCCGGUAUUUUUCCUUGCACAACAGAGAAAACUGGAAAGUGGAUGUGAGGAUUCUGUCUGGCCAAGAUGCAUUUUGCACUAUGCUUACUCUCUAGACCUAAGACUGUGGCAAAGGAAAAGAAAGGAAAUAUAAGAAUAAAAAGGGCAGUCUCAAUGCUGUUUGCACUGUGUGUGAUGAAGAUCUAGUUCCAUAAACUCCCAACAAAAUAGUGUUUAAAAAAUACUGCUUGUCUCAAAUACAAACUCCUUGCUUUUCCCAGGAUUUCUGAUUCUUACUCUUUGUGCUUCAUUAUAAUCUCAAACAUACUCAUGCUCCGAUAAUUCUCCAUUAUACAUUUGAAUGGCUGCUUUCAAGACUGCAGUGCUUUCUCCGAGAAGCACAGUUCUCAGGCUCUGCAGAUGCGUAUGACACAGCAGAAUUUUAGGCAGUAUAAAAAUUAUAAAGAUCAGUUUCCAUUACUGUAAUUACUAUAUAAAUCCUAUCUUUAAGAGGCUUAGAACAGGCCUAUUUAACCUUGGUUUGAGCUGAGGCUUGGUCCAAGUCUGAUAGGUUGAACACCAAAUUCUUUUUCUUUUUUUUUUUUCCCUUUUCUCUGCAGCAUCGUAACUUAGCAGGGAGUGGGGCGGGGAGGGAGAUGGAUCCAGUGCAUCCUCUCUGCUCUGACAGGGUAGUGGCUGUAAUCGGGCAAUAUACCUGUCCCCAACCAACAGCAAGACUAAACGAGAUGUGCAUUUUGUUACAUCUGAAAAGCACCGUUUCUCCCCUUGGAACCUGUGGCUGCUUCUCUUACACAGCUGUACUCCAGAACAGGUUCUUCUUCAAAGUUCUUUGGAUUUACCGUGGAGAAAACAUGGCAAGAACAUGUAAGAGGAGAUCACUGCCUGCGAAGAACUGACUGAGUGUUCACCUUGAGCCUGACAAGACUGCCCACCAUAUGGAUUGUGUUGGCAGAGGCAGAAGCCUGGGGAAUGCAGAGGUGGGGGGUAAUUUUUAGGGCUUGCAUUCCAUGGUCCCAUUGAUUAUAACCCUAUUAAGAGGAUGAUGCAUGUGACUUUUAAGUUAUUUUGUUAACUAAGUGUAAGCAAUGGAUGUGUCAUGCUAACAAACAUAAUUGCUGGUGUGUCUAAUACAGUAUGUAAGUACAGUAUAGUGAAUUUAAAAGGUUGUGGUAAUCUAAGAAUGUUAAAAGGGAAACGUGUGCCUGGGGGGUGUGGGGGUUGGGGAGAAAAACGACUUACUUGACAUUCACUGUCUUCCUCCCAGCUCCUUUGCUAAAGUAGGAACAGAAUCGGAACAAAAAAAUGUUUGUUUUACAGCUGUACCAAGUUACGGCGUGGACUCGUGCUCCCCCCCUCCUCUCCCACUUGCAUCAAGUACAUCCUGUACUUUUGGCAACAUGUUGACUGGAUAUUUAAAAGCUGUGAACUGUUCUGAAAGUUUCACAUACUGGGUUAUGGGCCAUGUGUGUUUGAUCAAAAUUCAAUUACUGCACUGUACCAUGCUUGGAAACCUAUCAUCCCAAGUUAUGAAGUAUGACGAAAUAGGCUAAUCUAAUUGGUUCAGUAUGGGAGCAGUAUCAACCAAGCUUGUUAUGAUAAAUAGCUUCCUGUGUUAAAGGUUCUCUAGAGCUUAAGUAUCUUGGCUCACCUCCCUCUACAAAAUAAGAAUAGUGUUCCCUGGGAACAGUUACAUCACUGUCCCUCUCCUACAUUCACAAUUAAAGGUUUGUGGAUUUUUUUCAUCUUGCUAUUACUUGAAUAGAUAAACUGUGGCCAUCUACCCCACUUCCAUCUCCUUCCCCUUUCCUCAGGUUAGGUCAUGUUGUGCUUCCUGUGAGUCUGCCUGAUCUGUUUCAGGGCUAGGUAAGGCAAGCUUGACCAGGAUGCCAAAACCCAUCCUGGGCCGGAGGCUGGGAUUUGUGUGCUGGUGUCAGUGCAUACGACAUGUCUGUUUGUAUAAAGAGUUGGAAUUUUUGAUGUUAAGUUAAACGUGGAAGCACUUUAAUCUUUCUAAGCAUCUAAUAAAAGAACUUUUGUAUAGCAAAUGUCA